This 292-nucleotide ribosomal RNA is filed under the name uncultured bacterium. RNAcentral's name for it is "partial 16S ribosomal RNA". It matches the Rfam family "Bacterial small subunit ribosomal RNA", at positions 505 to 796 of the family's 1533-position model. The record is from RNAcentral.
GUGCCAGCCGCCGCGGUAAUACGGAGGGGGCCAGCGUUGUUCGGAAUCAUUGGGCGUAAAGGGCGCGUAGGCGGCCAAGCAAGUCGGAGGUGAAAUCCCUCGGCUCAACCGGGGAACUGCCCCCGAUACUGCUUGGCUCGAGUCCCGGAGAGGGUAGUGGAAUUCCCAGUGUAGCGGUGAAAUGCGUAGAUAUUGGGAGGAACACCGGUGGCGAAGGCGGCUACCUGGACGGGUACUGACGCUGAGGCGCGAAAGCGUGGGGAGCAAACAGGAUUAGAUACCCCAGUAGUCC